AAAAUAUUAAAACGGAAUCCACUUUCGUUUUAUAUACAGUUGCUCUCGGUUUCUUGUUAGAUUUUUUUGGUCGUUUGACGGUUGCUUACUUGACUUGCAGUCGGAUGAGGCCAUGCAUGAAAAAUAGGAUUAAACAAUGAUAAAAAAACGCACUAGAAAACCAUAAAAAAAUUAUGAAAACAAACAGGACAAGUAGAAAUCACUGAGUAUUGAUAAUUGAAAAACAG
Molecule: long non-coding RNA, 227 nt
Filed under: Mytilus galloprovincialis (Mediterranean mussel)
Lineage: Eukaryota; Metazoa; Mollusca; Bivalvia; Mytilida; Mytilidae
Source: RNAcentral